Mizuhopecten yessoensis (Yesso scallop) is the source of this 997-nucleotide long non-coding RNA. RefSeq lists it as uncharacterized. Lineage: Eukaryota; Metazoa; Mollusca; Bivalvia; Pectinida; Pectinidae. The transcript is spliced from 5 exons. The record is from RefSeq and is a predicted model, not a curated record.
UUUUAUUGUCAUAUAUAGUAAAUGUUAUAAUUGUGUAUAAAUAUCCAUUUGUAUGUGCCCAGGGUGUUUUGUGUAUUUGUUUGUCCAUUUGUUGGCGUUACAUGUUACAGGGUGUGGUGUUCUAUGUAUUUUGUGUAAUGUGUUGCUAUUUUCAGUGUAACAGUUUACGCCCAGUGAUUUAAGUCCAGAGUCCAUGUUCUUGUCUUGCUUUUUAUUGGUCGCUAUUUUUAUAAUCCCUUGUUGGUCAGUCUUGGCGGGAAUAUCAUUAUUAGGUCAGUUAGACUCCUGCCUGCCAAGCUGAUCACAAGCUCUAUCUACUUGUCUUUAAAGUAUUCCAGGCAGUUACAAAAAUUAUUCGAAACUUGUACAGAGGUGGCAGUAAUAGAAGCAUCUAGGAUGGCUCUGUGCCAUACACAGAGUAUCUACAGAAUACAAUAAAUAUCCAGUAUGUAAAUACAUGCUAUCUAUGCCACCUGCCCUGCCUCUGUGAAUUGUACUGUACCAAGCAUUGAAGAAUAAAGAACUCAUUAUUACGUAAACAACACCCGUGGGCUCUAUUUAUGUGGAACACAACGGUUACACAAACUGCGACGUCAUUUUUUACGUUAUGGGCUGAUAACAUAAUUUUUUAGGCCAAUGAAAAGAUCGUCUGCUCAUUCUGACUGAAGCAUUAUGGGCUGAUAUACGAAUCGAAGAAACGAUUUGUAGUGCUGACAUAUGAAUGACAAUCGAACAGCCAAUGGAAACUAUUUUAUGCAUCAAUGGUCUUGUUGUGCGGUUGCUGUUGGUAUGAAAUGUAUCAUCAUAUCAUCAUCGAUAACAACCAUAACAAGAAUGUGACAGGUGUGGGAGAAAACUUGAUUACUGUACUAGCGCCUGCGAUUGGAAUAAUAUUGUAAAUCUUACGGUAAGUUUAUGACACAUAUGACUUCCGAGAAGAAGGCCGUCGUCAAAAACGCUGACAUGUCGGAAGAUAUGCAGCAAGGGGCGAUCGAUU